GACAGGGCUUUCCAUAGCCAUGGCCCAGCAGUGGAGCCUCCAAAGGCUCGCAGGCCGCCAUCCGCAGGACAGCUAUGAGGACAGCACCCAGUCCAGCAUCUUCACCUACACCAACAGCAACUCCACCAGAGACCCAUUCGAAGGCCCGAAUUACCACAUCGCUCCCAGAUGGGUAUACCACCUCACCAGUGUCUGGAUGAUCUUUGUGGUCAUUGCAUCUGUCUUCACAAAUGGGCUUGUGCUGGCGGCCACCAUGAAGUUCAAGAAGCUGCGCCACCCGCUGAACUGGAUCCUGGUGAACCUGGCGGUCGCUGACCUAGCAGAGACUGUCAUUGCCAGCACUAUCAGCGUUGUGAACCAGGUCUCUGGCUACUUCGUGCUGGGCCACCCUAUGUGUGUCCUGGAGGGCUACACCGUCUCCCUGUGUGGGAUCACAGGUCUCUGGUCUCUGGCCAUCAUUUCCUGGGAGAGGUGGCUGGUGGUGUGCAAGCCCUUUGGCAAUGUGAGAUUUGAUGCCAAGCUGGCCAUCAUUGGCAUUGCCUUCUCCUGGGUCUGGUCUGCUGUGUGGACAGCCCCGCCCAUCUUUGGUUGGAGCAGGUGGCAAAGCAGCAGAAAGAGUCUGAAUCCACCCAGAAGGCAGAGAAGGAAGUGACGCGCAUGGUGGUGGUGAUGAUCUUGGCAUUCUGCUUCUGCUGGGGACC
RNAcentral lists this small RNA (701 nucleotides) under Pan troglodytes (chimpanzee). RNAcentral's name for it is "processed transcript". Lineage: Eukaryota; Metazoa; Chordata; Mammalia; Primates; Hominidae. The record is from RNAcentral.